This 22-nucleotide non-coding RNA is filed under the name Rattus norvegicus (Norway rat). Lineage: Eukaryota; Metazoa; Chordata; Mammalia; Rodentia; Muridae. The record is from RNAcentral.
UGAACACCUUUGGUAGAUGGUC